Molecule: microRNA precursor, 279 nt
Filed under: Picea abies (Norway spruce)
Lineage: Eukaryota; Viridiplantae; Streptophyta; Pinopsida; Pinales; Pinaceae
Description: miR1312c stem-loop (pab-MIR1312c)
Source: miRBase by way of RNAcentral
UCCAACAGCAUCUAUGAGGUGAUUUUCUCUUCCAAUUAUGCCAUUUAUUCUGUAUUCAAAUUUGGAGAAGCAGUGAGACGACUUCAACAUUAAUCAAAAGUGGAGAGAGUUAUUUGUUAUUGCAACACGGGAAAGAGCCUCUUUCCAAUUGUGGUUUUAAGUAGUGUUGGGGUCGUAUUGUUGCUUUUGUUUGAGAGAAAAUGAUGGUAGCUCUGAUUUCAAGUAAGUAGGAGUUAUGCAUAAUUGGGAGAGAAAAUUGCCACGUAAAUGUUGUUCGGG